ACUUACGGCAACACCGGCCUGAGUACGCCUGAUCUCGUCCGAUCUCGGAAGCUAAGCAGGGUCGGGCCUGGUUAGUACUUGGAUGGGACACAGCCUGGCAAUACCAGGUGCUGUAAGCU
This 119-nucleotide ribosomal RNA is filed under the name Oncorhynchus mykiss (rainbow trout). Lineage: Eukaryota; Metazoa; Chordata; Actinopteri; Salmoniformes; Salmonidae. The record is from RNAcentral.